Molecule: unclassified non-coding RNA, 156 nt
Filed under: uncultured Hymenoscyphus
Lineage: Eukaryota; Fungi; Ascomycota; Leotiomycetes; Helotiales; Helotiaceae
Description: sequence contains ITS1
Source: RNAcentral
CAGAGUUCCUGCCCUCACGGGUAGAAACCCCACCCUUGUGUAUACUAUAUUGUUGCUUUGGCAGGCCGCCUUACGGCGUUGGCUUACGUUGACCGUGCCUGCUAGAGGACCCUAAACUCUGAAAUACAGUGUCGUCUGAGUACUAUUUAAUAGUUA